CCUACGGGUGGCAGCAGUGAGGAAUAUUGGUCAAUGGGCGGAAGCCUGAACCAGCCAAGUCGCGUGCAGGAUGACGGCUCUACGGGUUGUAAACUGCUUUUAUACGGGAAUAACGCGCCUUAUGUGUAGGGCUUUGCAUGUACCGUAUGAAAAAGCAUCGGCUAACUCUGUACCAGCAGCCGCGGUAAUACGGAGGAUGCGAGCGUUAUCCGGAUGUAUUGGGUUUAAUGGGUGCGUAGGCGGAGUGUAAAGCCAGCGGUAAAAUUUCGGGGCGCAACCCCGUCGUGCCGUUGAAACUGACGCCCUUGAGUGAGUGAGAAGUAAGCGGAAUGCGUGGUGUAGCGGUGAAAUGCAUAGAUAUCACGCAGAACGCCGAUUGCGAAGGCAGCUUACCGGCGCUCAACUGACGCUGAGGCACGAAAGUGCGGGUAUCGAACAGGAUUAGAUACCCGGGUAGUC
Molecule: ribosomal RNA, 459 nt
Filed under: uncultured bacterium
Lineage: Bacteria
Description: partial 16S ribosomal RNA
Rfam family: Bacterial small subunit ribosomal RNA
Source: RNAcentral